AGGAUGAACGCUGGCGGUGUGCCUAAUACAUGCAAGUCGUACGGAAAGGCCCUUCGGGGUACUCGAGUGGCGGACGGCUGAGUAACGCGUGGGAACGUACCCUAAAGUGAGGAAUAACUGCCCGAAAGGGUGGCUAAUGCCGCAUAUGCUCUUCGGAGUAAAGCUUCGGCGCUUUGGGAGCGGCCCGCGUCCGAUUAGCUUGUUGGUAAGGUAAUGGCUUACCAAGGCGACGAUCGGUAGCUGGUCUGAGAGGAUGAUCAGCCAGACUGGGACUGAGAACGGCCCAGACUCCUACGGGAGGCAGCAGUAGGGAAUUUUCCACAAUGGGCGAAAGCCUGAUGGAGCAACGACGCGUGCAGGACGAAGGCCCUCGGGUCGUAAACUGCUUUUAUUGUGACGAUUAUGACGGUAGCAGAUGAAUAAGGAUCGGCUAACUCCGACGCCAGCAGCCGC
RNAcentral lists this ribosomal RNA (453 nucleotides) under uncultured bacterium. Its description in RNAcentral is "SSU rRNA". It matches the Rfam family "Bacterial small subunit ribosomal RNA", at positions 26 to 518 of the family's 1533-position model. The record is from RNAcentral.